UACAGAGACUGCAAGCGUUAUUCGGAUUCACUGGGCGUAAAGGGUGCGCAGGCGGCCAAGUGUGUUAGGCGUGAAAGCCCGGGGCUUAACCCCGGAAUUGCACCUAAAACUACAUGGCUAGAGCAUUGGAGAGGGUAGCGGAAUUCACGGUGUAGCAGUGAAAUGCGCAGAUAUCGGGAGGAACACCAGUAGCGAAGGCGGCUCGCUGGGCCACACCUGACGCUGAGACGCGAAAGCUAGGGGAGCGAACAGG
This 253-nucleotide ribosomal RNA is filed under the name uncultured bacterium. Its description in RNAcentral is "partial 16S ribosomal RNA". It matches the Rfam family "Bacterial small subunit ribosomal RNA", at positions 524 to 776 of the family's 1533-position model. The record is from RNAcentral.